AUGUCUCCUGUCAGGAAGUCAGCUACAGUCCUCCGCUCUACCAGCUGAGCUAUCGAAGGGACGGGUAAGCUGUCCGUGCCCCUUGAGACUCAAUGUUCAAGAACCCGAGCGAGCACAGCUGCGGGCUAGAGACUGAAUAGAGCAUGCGUACUCCGGAACGGGGAGGGGAAGGGAGUAAAUGCCUGUGUAUUGUUUCACGCGUGCGCAGAAACACAACCUGGCUCCCCUUCGUGGGAUCCUGACAGACCCCGGAAAGGACCCCCAAUGCGUGUGUCCUAGAGCUAGUGGUACCAAGACUCAGCAACUCCGACACCACCUUCCUUUACUUUUCCUUUACCACCCUAUAUUGGGAGUGACUGCCCGAGUGUGGCCUUACCACUCUAAUCUGUAUGUCCCCUCAGUUUCUCCUUGUGUGGAGGGCCAGUGGCGCAAUGGAUAACGCGUCUGACUACGGAUCAGAAGAUUGUAGGUUCGACUCCUGCCUGGCUCGGCAUUUUUGUCACAAUGAUUUUUUUAAAAGCAAAGAUUAUUACUUCUUCAGGGUUCCUCAAGUCACAAAUGCCGAGAGUAUUUUACUACACUUCGAGUCCAGAAAUCUGUUGUGCGUCGCUUCCAGUGCCGCCCCGUCGAACUCUCUCGAGCACUAAGGAGAGGCAGCCGCGGCCGCGCGGCUAACUGCCCGCGAGAGCGCUUCCGACACGGGCGGGGGGAGGCUCUGGGGAAGGCUGGGGAGAUCAGCCGCUCAGGAAUUCCAGGUAGGAAGCUGGGUUAGGGAAAGUGAAGCCCGCAGUCCCAUUGAGGAAGCUGGUUGAAAUGCCAGGGCUGCUUCUGCAGCAGCUUCAUUCGUCGGGUCUUGUAAAAUAGUUGAAGACUUUAGUCACCAAAGUCACGAGAAAAACUGCCCACGCACACGCCCUGACAGUGCUGACGAAAGAAAGUCAAGAAAAUAAAGUGCAUUAUAGAUGACUCUGGACAAUGUUUCGGGAGUAGAGAUAUUUGGGUACCAGGACAGAUUACUCAGAAGGAAAAAACCUUCACGAGGUGGUGAUAUUGGUGGAAAGUAGGUCAGAGUUGGAAUCCCCUAGCUCCAUCCAUUGUCAUUUUUGGAAGUCCAGUCAUCAAUACCAAGGGCAACCUGAAGCAAAGGUAACUAGAAGAGUUUAUUCUGAAAAAUUAAGGGACAUAGUAGAACCAAUUUUGGGAGAGAGGGUGGAUUUAGUGUUCAAUAAAACCUCACUAUUACUCAGCAAGGAUAUUUCUGUGGAUUUCUCAAAAGCAGCCACCACCAAUGCCCAGUGAAUAUUUUUCUUGUAUUCAUUUCUGAAUCUGUAUUCUACUCAUCUUCUGUAAUUGCUACCUAUGGCAAUGUAGCAUGUGAUGUCUGGACAUAUUAUCUCAGAAAGAAAGCAGAAACAGUUGGCAGUCCACACUGUGUUUUAAGAAAAAAAAUAAAAUAGGGGCACGUGGGUGGCUCAGUAGGUUAAGCAUCUGACUUCAGCUCAGGUCAUGAUCUCAUGACCUCUGGGUUCAAGCCCCAUGUCAGGCUCUGUACUGACAGCGCAGAGCCUGGAGCCUGCUUCGGCUGUGUCUCCCAAUCUCUCUGCUCUUCCCGCACUCAUGCUCUGUCUCUCUCUCAAAAAUAAAUCUUAAAAAAUAAAAUAAAACAGUUGGUUUUCCCCAAAUGGAGGGUGAAGAGUAUGUGAAUCAAAUCAAUGGUCAUUUUGGUUUUGUUGUUGUUGUUGUUUACUCAUCUAAAGUAUCUCUUUUAUUUCAUCUGAUAAGAAUGUUGGGUAAUAUAUGGUCAGUUUUAGUCAUUUAAAUUAUGCCACUUUCCUAAGUAGUUCAAGGCACCCAAAUUCUCUAUAAGCAGAGCACAAGGAGAAAUGUAGCAAUAACCAUGGAUCAGAGUUGUUACUGAAUUUUAAAAUAUGCAUGACCCCUUUCCUCCAAGGAACUAAGGCUCCUCACUAAACUUUUGUUGCCAAAUAGGUAUUAAUCUUUUUAAUACCCAAGGAAACAGGUGAAAGUGUAAACUUUGUCAACACUAUUUCAUCAAACUAUUUGGGGAGAGCAGUUAGCUCACUUGAAGAUAGAGUAUGUAGGGGAAUGUAAUGAAGAUUCUUAUUAAUUUGUUCCACAACGUUUACUAAGCACUUUGUAAGCAUCAGGAACUAUACUAUAUACACAUAGUAUGUACUGUGUACUAGGAACACAAAGAGUAAACAAAUAAAUCUGGUCUGUACUAUCAAGGCACUUUCAGAAGAAUGGAGAGUCAUGACAGCUGUAUACUGACUGACUGAUGAGGGCCAUCAUGGCUCCAAGCACUGAGACCAUGGGAACAUAUUGAGAGACAUCUUGUUGUAGGAUGGGGAUGAAGAAAGACUGCCCAGAGGUGUAUUUGGGCUGGGUCUUGACAAAUAAGAGAUAGGCUAAGAAGCAAAAUAAAGGCAGAGAGGUCAGCUCUUUAAUAAGCAAAGGAGAGAAGACAAGACUCCUUCAGGGAAUUGUAAAAAUUUCAGUUUGGGAGCUGGGAGCAGUAGUCCUGUGAAGGGAUGGGGAGCAGAUCAGGUAGGACAAAGAUAUGAGCAAGGAAAGCACAGAGAGGAGUUCCAUAAAACUACUUUCAAAGAUCUCUGUCCAGCUUUGGUUGAGCCAAAUGUAUGGGACACAGCCUUUUUCUAGGUAGGCCCACUUCUCAGAAAUUGUCCUGAGAGAGUCAUGCUCCAAAGUUCACAGAGCCUGUUCUUCUGAGCUCAGGGACUCUAGGAGGCAGGGAAAUUAGCCCCCUUUCACUAUCCACCCCAGGAAGUACAUACCCAGAACCUUCUUAAUCCCACAUAGGAAUGGGCUUCCUAAGAAUCCAAACACUUCAGGUCUUUAUUCUUAGACUAUCAAGACCAGCCACCAUCAUCAGUUCAACAGCAAUGGUUCCCCAAGGUAUGGAAUAACAGCCUGCAUUGCAUUGCUGUGUGAUUGUACACCCAACUGGGCAAGGGACCACACACACAGUCUCUUCCAUCCUGUUGCUUCUGAUAAUUGCUUAGUAAAUCUACAAAUACAUGUUGACUCUUCUGAAACUAUUGUCUGAUGAUAAUUGAUUGUUGCUCAAUAAAUAUUUACAAGUAAUAAUUAUAAUUGGGCUUUGUGGUCAGGGAAAAAUAAAGGAAAAGAAAAUGGAGCAGAGAGAAAAAGUGAGGGUGCAGAAAGAAUGUGGAAGAAAUAAUCAUUAAUAUGAUUAAUCUCCAGUUUAGCACAUAUGUAUAUUAUCUCAUUUAAUAUUUACAAUGACCUAUGAUAUACAUUAAUAUUGUAUUGGCUUAACAGGUGAGGAGAGUGAGGCUCAGGAAGUUGAGUAACUUUCCUAAGGCCAAGGAAGUGGUUUUCUGAUUCAGACCAGGCUUCUUAUUUGUUAAAUCUAGCUUCUGGAAGAGAGGGAGAGGCCUCACAUCUUCCCUGUAGAAAUUUUACUACCAGUGUAUACUUGAAAAAGAGUGGCUCCUGCCUUGUUUCAAUAACUAAGGAAUAAAAUUUUAAUCUUGCUUUGGAGGCUUAAAAGAAGUCUAUGGACCUAACCACCGUUCAGCCACCCACACAAUUUUCUCGGGACAUUCAGGAUCACCAUUAUUACUUCCCCUUCUUGCUCCCUCUGCACUUCAAUUGUCCUGAUUUUUGUUUAUAAUCCUUUUAUAUCUAUUUUGAUCAUUAACUUCCAGGAGUGACUUUUCUGGGUGCUCUGACUUAGCAGGGAAGCCAGAGAUUAGGAUCUGGCAUCUAUUAUAUGGUAUCAUGACAAAUGCAUCCUUUCCCAUGGUUUGGGCUUGGGACUUACCAUUAGAUGUGGCAAAAAAUUUUUCAAUAAAAUUAUCCAUGAAUGAGUAGUAGGUGGCUUUAAAAGCGUUAGUUCAUAAAUGCACUUUGGCUAUCAGAUUGUCAAAAGCCCCACUAGAAAAUCCAUUUAAAAAUUAAACAUUAAACAUGAGUGUUUUUUAAAGUGGUCUGCUUUUGCUAUUCCUAACAUGUGUCUAUACUAUUUAUACUUAUAUGAUUUAUUAUAUGUAAUCUAGGAGGGAGAUGUUCUUAUUUAGCCUACAGAUAAAAGAUUGUUGAGUAAGCAGUAACAUAUUUUAGAAUAGGUUCAUGAGGCUCAAAAGGGUAAAUAAAAAUGAGGAAAAUGUACUCCAUAUCACAAUGUUUAUAAAUAUAAGCAUAGUUGGCACACAUGGGUAGCUCAAUUGGUUGAGUGUUGGACUCUUGAUUUCAGCUCAGGUCAUGAUCUCUGGGUCAUGGGAUUGAGCCUUACAUUGGGCUCCAUGCUGAGAGUGGAGCCUGCUUGGGAUUCUCUCUCUGUCCCUCUCUGCCUCUCCCC
Acinonyx jubatus (cheetah) is the source of this 4366-nucleotide long non-coding RNA. RefSeq lists it as uncharacterized. The record is from RefSeq and is a predicted model, not a curated record. Lineage: Eukaryota; Metazoa; Chordata; Mammalia; Carnivora; Felidae. The transcript is spliced from 3 exons.